AUUGAACGCUGGCGGCAGGCUUAACACCUGCAAGUCGAGCGGAGUGAUGGUGCUUGCACUAUCACUUAGCGGCCGAUGGGUGAGUAAUGCUUAGGAAUCUGCCCCUUAGUGGGGGACAACAUCUCGCAAGGGAUGCUAAUACCGCACACGUCCUACGGGAGACAGCAGGCGGUCACUUGUGACCUUGCGCCAACAGCUGCGCCUAAGUCGGAGUAGCUAGCUGGUGGGGUAAAGGCCUACCAAGGCGACGAUCUGUAACUGGUCUGAGAGGAUGAUCAGUCACACUGGAACUGAGACACGGUCCAGACUCCUACGGGAGGCAGCAGUGGGGAAUAUUGGACAAUGGGGGCAACCCUGAUCCAGCCAUGCCGCGUGUGUGAAGAAGGCCUUAGGGUUGUAAAGCACUUUCAGUGGGGAGAAAAGUGAUUCACCUAAUACGUGAGUCAAUUUAUGUUACCCACAGAAGAAGCACCGGCUAACUCCGUGCCAGCAGCCGCCGCCG
Molecule: ribosomal RNA, 502 nt
Filed under: uncultured bacterium
Lineage: Bacteria
Description: partial 16S ribosomal RNA
Rfam family: Bacterial small subunit ribosomal RNA
Source: RNAcentral